AUUGAUUUUAUGCUUGCAUAAAUGAUUUUUGGAUUCGGAGCGAGUGGCGAACUGGUGAGUAACACGUGGGUAACCUGCCCCGAAGCGGGGGAUAACAUUUGGAAACAAGUGCUAAUACCGCAUAAUUAGUUGGAACCGCAUGGUUCCAACUUGAAAGAUGGCUCUGCUAUCACUUUGGGAUGGACCCGCGCCGUAUUAGUUAGUUGGUGAGAUAAAAGCCCACCAAGACGAUGAUACGUAGCCGACCUGAGAGGGUAAUCGGCCACAUUGGGACUGAGACACGGCCCAGACUCCUACGGGAGGCAGCAGUAGGGAAUCUUCCACAAUGGACGAAAGUCUGAUGGAGCAACGCCGCGUGAGUGAUGAGGGUUUUCGGAUCGUAAAACUCUGUUGUUAAAGAAGAACAAGUGUUAGAGUAACUGUUAACACUUUGACGGUAUUUAACCAGAAAGCCACGGCUAACUACGUGCCAGCAGCCGCGGUAAUACGUAGGUGGCAAGCGUUGUCCGGAUUUAUUGGGCGUAAAGCGAGCGCAGGCGGUUUUGUAAGUCUGCUGUGAAAGCCCUCAGCUCAACUGAGGAAGUGCAGUGGAAACUACAAAACUUGAGUACAGAAGAGGAAAGUGGAACUCCAUGUGUAGCGGUGAAAUGCGUAGAUAUAUGGAAGAACACCAGUGGCGAAGGCGGCUUUCUGGUCUGUUACUGACGCUGAGGCUCGGAAGCAUGGGUAGCGAACAGGAUUAGAUACCCUGGUAGUCCAUGCCGUAAACGAUGAAUACUAGGUGUUGGAGGGUUUCCGCCCUUCAGUGCCGCAGCUAACGCAUUAAGUAUUCCGCCUGGGGAGUACGACCGCAAGGUUGAAACUCAAAGGAAUUGACGGGGGCCCGCACAAGUGGUGGAGCAUGUGGUUUAAUUCGAUGCUACGUGAAGAACCUUACCAGCUCUUGACAUCUUCUGCCAACCCAAGAGAUUGGGCGUUCCCUUCGGGGACAGAAUGACAGGUGGUGCAUGGUUGUCGUCAGCUCGUGUCGUGAGAUGUUGGGUUAAGUCCCGCAACGAGCGCAACCCUUAUUAUUAGUUGCCAGCAUUUAGUUGGGCACUCUAGUGAGACUGCCGGUGAUAAA
RNAcentral lists this ribosomal RNA (1123 nucleotides) under uncultured bacterium. Its description in RNAcentral is "bacterial SSU rRNA". It matches the Rfam family "Bacterial small subunit ribosomal RNA", at positions 47 to 1162 of the family's 1533-position model. The record is from RNAcentral.